UUGGAGGGCAAGUCUGGUGCCAGCAGCCGCGGUAAUUCCAGCUCCAAUAGCGUAUAUUAAAGUUGUUGCAGUUAAAAAGCUCGUAGUUGAAUUUCGGGAUUGGCGCGUCGGUCGUGCCUCACGGGGUAUGAACUGGUGCAGUCAAUUUCUCACCUUCUGGAGAACCGCGAUGUCCUUAAUUGGAUGCCGCGGGGAACCAGGACCUUUACUUUGAAAAAAUUAGAGUGUUUAAAGCAGGCAUUUUUGCUUGAAUACAUUAGCAUGGAAUAAUAAAAUAGGACGGCAUGGUUCUAUUUUGUUGGUUUCUAGGACCACUGUAAUGAUUAAUAGGGAUGGUUGGGGGCAUUAGUAUUCAAUUGUCAGAGGUGAAAUUCUUGGAUUUAUUGAAGACUAACUACUGCGAAAGCAUUUGCCAAGGAUGUUUUCAUUAAUCAAGAACGAAAGUUAGGGGAUCGAAGACGAUCAGAUACCGUCGUAGUCUUAACCAUAAACUAUGCCGACUAGGAAUCAGACGAUGUUAAUUUUUUAAUGACUCGUUUGGCACCUUACGGGAAACCAAAGUGUUUGGGUUC
RNAcentral lists this ribosomal RNA (572 nucleotides) under uncultured Glomeromycotina. RNAcentral describes it as "SSU rRNA". It matches the Rfam family "Eukaryotic small subunit ribosomal RNA", at positions 548 to 1114 of the family's 1831-position model. The record is from RNAcentral. Lineage: Eukaryota; Fungi; Glomeromycota.